AUGAGCGGCUGUUUCCCCGCCCUCGGGGCUUCCAAUUAUGGAGCUCAGAAAGAUUGGAAGCCAAAGCAUGACCCCUUGUUUUGGACUCUGGACCCUCCCAGGGGCCCUCGUCCAGAUCGUGUUGCUUUAUUAACACAGGACAUGGGAAAAGCUGCUUCUAAUCCCAAAGGCAGGCCUGAGUUGGGCUGGGAACUGGGAGAGCAUUCUACGCGCAUUCUAUGUUGGGUCUUUGGGCAUAAAGUCAAACACAUGGAGCUGACCCUCAAGGUUUGGCUAAGUCACUCCAGGUGCUUCCAAUCCUGUCCCAUUUGAGAAGACUCCCAAGGAGCAGGAGGCUUGACUAGACACAACUGGCUUUGCCCCUGAACCCAAGGGGACAUGGCUGGAGGGAAUCUGCGUGCCCAGCAGCUUGGAAGGGCUUUCCAGGUAAGUGUGAAACUAUGAAGCGUGACUGUCCACUGAUACCUGGCACUUGGUUUCACCUGUUGGCUUCCAGGGCGGCGGGGUUUCUGUGCUUUUGAGAGACCAAGUUUAGAGUCCCAGGUGGGAGACUUGACGCUUGUAGUGGGUCUGUCCUUUCAUGGUGUAACCGAACUUCAGUCCUUCAAUAGCUUAUGCAAUUUUCAUUUCCUGCUCAGGAAAAACCCUCUUGGAGUGAUGAUGGCACUUAAAUUAUGGUGAUAAAAAUCUGGUUUUUUUUUCUCCUUCACUCUCCCAACUGGCUUCAAAUCCUCAUUUCUUAGGAUAACCUUAAUCCUCGGAGAGCUUCUCAAGACCAAUGUGGGGAAACUGAGGCCUGAGUCUAGACUUCAAUGAGAACCUGGAAGAGUGAGCUGCUUUUGCACAACCUCCCCCUCAACCCUUCUCUGCCAGUCAAGAUACCAGGCCCGUGUGACCUCGUUUCCUCUGCUCUCCCACCAAACCAGCAGACAUUCCUGACAGACCCCAGACUCUAAGGGCCUCGAUCCUGGACUUUGAGGAAAUUUAGUGGGGACCAGGACCCUGAAGACCGAAAGAACCCCUCAUUUGGGAGGGAGGGGGGAAGGAGCAAUUGCCAGGACAAGGUAGGUCCCUUGGCUCUUCCCACUGGAGGCUGGGGAAGGAGAACCUCCCCUGGGAAAGGGGAAGGUCUGUUACCUCGCUCGUGAUGUACACUUGCUUCCACAGGUUCCACCCACAGCACUGAGCAAGCCAAGGCACCAAACCCUCAAAGAAAACCUGGAAUUUCCUGCACAAGGAGGCCAUCUUUCAGAACCCUACCACAAAGCUGGUAGAAAACAAAAAGGGCUCUGGUUUUAGCUGGACCAACUCGAAGGUUGGCGUUUGAGAUUACAGCAAGAUGUGGGAGGGGAGAACAGUGGGGAAAGGUAGACUGUGGUCCCUUUACUGGCAAAGACCCUCAUCUUGCCAGGAUCUUCACUUUAAAGGCCCUGAAAACUAAGAUCCCUCCCGAAUACUCUUGAGGAAAUGCUAUUCUGAUAGGUGGCUAAAAUCAGACCUCUCUUUAGCCCCUUUAAAUUAGUGGGGUUUCCUAGGAUUAGGGUUCUCCAGCUGCAACAGCCACUCUGUGUCCAGCCUAAGCCUGUUCCACAUGGCUGCCAGGGGACUCGGGGGGCAAAGGGGACCCACGCAACUGAAGCUCCUGCUGGGGAGCACGUGGAAUGUGGCAGGUCUACUUGUUCACUGGCAAGUAAGGUAAAGUCUCCAGACCUCCCACUGUCCUUGACAGUUUUGGUAAGGAGAGUGGGAUGCUAAGACCUAGCUUUUCUGGGAAAGCAAGGACUGAUCCCUUGUAGGCUGGGUUAGGGGGUAGGAGAAGCAAAUAUCCUGGGACUCGGUGGCAGGUGCUGUCACCUUCUGCUGGUGGGUGAAGAGUCUCUCCGUGUUCUACUUGUGAAUGGGACUGUGUGGUGGGAGGUAGGAUGUAAACACGAAGCCCCAAUAGUCCUUUGGGUGGUUGCUCACCCUUCCAGUG
RNAcentral lists this long non-coding RNA (1975 nucleotides) under Canis lupus familiaris (dog). Its description in RNAcentral is "lncRNA (ENSCAFG00000051340.1)". Lineage: Eukaryota; Metazoa; Chordata; Mammalia; Carnivora; Canidae. The record is from RNAcentral.